CAGAACUAUUUUUUCUUUUAUCUUUUCUUUUUGGCAUCAAAUUAUUUUAGGCUUUUCUUUUUACUUCAAUUAACUUAUCUCAUACUAUACCCUAUUAGUAAAAUCAAUUGGAUCGGUACCCAAUCUCCGAGUGUUUCCUUUCAAUUAAUUGUUUUGGGGCUGGUCAUUAUUUUUCAGUUCUGAAUAUUCGGUUUUACCAGUCACAUUUUUUAGUUUUAUUAUUGAAUAAGUCUGAUCUCGCUGGUUUUUGCAAACUGGUGGAGGCUAAUAUUACAAAUUUUUUUAUCUUUAUUCGUAUUCAUGACCAUUUCUGUUUUCAUCUCCUCAUUUUCCUUGAUACUGUUUCUAUCGGGAAUUUUUUUUUUUUUUGAGGUCGACAUGGAUUUAACUGUUGAAAAGGGAGAAGGUUUUUGUGUGUCUGACUUUUGGGAUGAAGGGGUGUAAGCGUGGUUUACUGUUACUGUUAUGUGAUUGGGGUGAUUCUGAUUACUGGAUGAAAGGUUCAGGUGUGACUAAAUCGAGCGAGGGGAAAUGUAUUAGUAGAUAUAAUUGUAAGAUAAUGGUGAAGGACAAUUGUUUAGACACUUGAUCUAGGGUGUGGCAGGAUUCAUUAAGAAUUGUUUAAAGUGUUCAACAAAGAGGUUUUGAAUGUUCAUGGAAAAUUUAUUAAAAAGUAUGUAGAUUUCUGUCAUUUGCAUAGAAUAUUUACAUCAUUUUUUCUGACAUAUUGUCUAUUUUUAAUUACUGCAUAUGGUCUAUUUGUAUUUUUUUAGUUUUUGUUUUUCAAAUUCAGUUCGAAAUAGUGGUUCUGUUCUGACAUUUUUAAUUUAUUUUUUUUAUUAUUCUUAUGACCCUCUUUUUCCUAAUUUUUCUGUCUUAAGUAUUCUUUUUGAAAAUAUUUCAUCGGUUUUCUUCUUUUUACCGCUUGCAAUGGAUGUGUUAUGAUUGGAAGUCAGUUGAUUAUGGUUGGGAUUCGUUAUUUUUCUUGUUCACGGUUUAGUCUGUUUUCUCAUACUUCAUUUGGUGAAAGGUUAAUUACAGAUGUGCAAUUCCAAUCUUUUUUUUUUUAAAUCCUCUUGUGGAUGUGGGUUGGAAUUUGAAUUUGUUGUUUUACUUCUGCUGGGAUAAAAAUUUGUUUUCCUGCACUUCAUAUUUGUUACUAUCAUAAUUUGUGUUAGAAAAAGGUCAAACAAUAGUCCUGUGAAAUUUGUUUGUCUUGUGAUGGGGAAUUCAAUACAUUGUGGAUGUGGCUUGUACAUUUCAGUUGUGGUGAAGUCUAUUAUUUGUGAUCCUUUACCCUAUGGAUUUACCUAGUUGUUCUCGCUGAUGCAGUAGCACUACUUUAAUAACUCUUAAUUUUCAAAGCAAUAUACUAUUAUUGUGCCAAAGUUGUUAGAUUGUGAUUAGAUUUUUUCUAAUGUUAUAUUUUUUUCUUAUUAAGUUUCUGCAAUGGCUUUAAUGUUGUGUUUCUGUUCUGUGGUGGACUUUUUUCUUAUUCUUAAGUUGUUGCUUUGUGCAAAUUUGAGAUUUUUUUUUUUUUGGCUCUAUAGUUUGUUUAGGAGUUUGUGCUGAUAACAUUUUGUUUAUGGAAUAGUUGUAAUAUAUACUGAUUUGGUUACUAAGUGUUUCUUUCUUAUUUUUUAUUUUAUGGAAAAAUUUAAAUUGGUGAUGAUAUCAUUGUUGACUGUAAUGGAAGCUUGCAUGUUGUGCCAAUGUGGAUUGGAUGCUGUCAAAAACAUAAACCUUUAUUUUUUGUGUGUUUAAGUGUUUUAUUUUUUCGCCAACUUUUUUUAAUGUGCAGUGACCAUUUCAAUUUUGUUAUUAACCUGCAGUUUUUAUAUUCUGAGUGUAAUGGCUUUAAUUUUAUGUCUCGUAUUGAUGGUAAUGUAAGCAUUGAGACUUCUAGUUAUUCUUGUGGAAUUUUUAUGUCACAAUAAUUUAUAUUGCUUUCAUUUGUUUUUCUAUCCUACAAUCUCUUUAAUUUUAUUUAGAAUUCUUAUAUAAGUCUUGAUCCCAUUGUGAUUGAUAAUAUAGAGUUUCAUAAUUACACCAUUUUCAUGUGUCAGUUUUUUGUAGGGAUAGAAAUGUUAAUUUUAAAUUUUUAGGGUGUAUGUCUAAUUUUUAAAAGUUUUGUCAUAUUAUAUUUUCAAAAUCUACAUUAUUUUGAUUAGUGCAUGUUUUUGGCAGGGGCAAAAAUAUUAUUUUUCAAGUUUAAUCAAUAUAUAUGUAAUUUUUGAGAAAUUUGUUGGUGUUUUAAAUAUUUCUGUUGUGUAGUAAUUUCCACAAACAUUUCUGUUCUUGGGAGGCUUUAUGACAUUAUUAAACUCUUAUAAAUAAGACAGUUGUCCUCCAAAUCUGCAUAUUGCAUAAGGAGUGUACUUUUCCGGAAACUUCAGCCCUUUCUCUCAUUUCAUCUUCACCAAAACACUUCAUCAACCGUCCUUCUCCACCCCUGUGAGAUCACACCAUGCUGCCACCACUCUUAGACUUCGUCUUCUUGCACCAUGGAAAGAAUUUGGAAUUCAAUUGCCACACUUCAAUGAUGGUUCCGAACAUGAAGAGCAGUCAUUCUUGAAUUGCAGCAAUCAUUUUGUUAGGAACCUGGAGAUUUCGCGGACGGCACUAGCAGCCUUCAGCCUCAAUGAAGUAUGCGGUUGGGGUUCCCAGAGAAACGAGGCUCACUGUAAUGCUACUUGCUUUGGAGCUUGACUGGAAUUUUUAACUUUGAUGUUAAUAGCUAGCUAGUCUUCAUAUACUGUGCAACUUGUGACGGCAAGAUGCAAGAAGAGCAGAGGUGUUGGGAAAUGCAGCUAGAACCAUCCACAGGCAGAUUCAUACUUAUAUUGGAAGGAAGGAGUUUAUUGAGAUGCGCAAAGCUAUUGUGUUGCAGUCUCAUUGCUGCAACUUCUAUUCUUGAUGGACACCUUGAAUUCAACAGAGCCUUACUAUAGCAGAUGUGUGAAGCCUAACAAUGUCCUCAAGCCAGCAAUUUUUGAGAAUGCCAACAUAAUUCACCAAUUAUGAUGUGGUGGUGUCCUUGAGGUAACUAGGAUCAGUUUUGCUGGUUAUCCUACGAGACGAACAUUUUAUGAGUUUCAACACCAUUUUGGUGUUCUAGCUCCAGAAGUUCUAGAAGGAAAUUUGUGAUUUAUAAGCCUUUGGGUAAAUGUUAAGGAGAUGUGAUGAUGUUAGGGCUCGGGUCUAUGUGAAAAGGAAGAGAAGAGGAAGAAGAGCGAACGUGAAGGAAGGCACCAGCAAUAUCAAUAACAGAAAGCAGAGCAUUGGAGCGGAAGGCAGCAGUCCAAAAGCUGUUGGUGAUAGUGUUGGUAUCAAUAUUAGUAAGCAGCCCAGGGGAGCUCCAGAUGGCAGCAUUUCAGUGGCGGAAAGGACAACAGACAUGCAGCAAAAGUUUAGGAGUAUGCUGGAGAAGAUGGAGAUUGUGAAAAGAUGGGACACUGAGUUGGCAUCUGAGGAUUGGUCGGGUGACAGCAAGGAGGACAGAAGUAGGGAGCUGGGAGAGGGAAGUGGUCACUUUUUGGAAGCAAAGAAAGGAAGGGAGUAGGGAGAGUCCCAGCCUCUCGAAUGCUAAAAGCCAAAACAAUCUUCAGUCGUCUUACAGCCUUAGCCAGGAAUUCCGUUUUCACGACACCAGCAGAGGAGUAAGAACACUUGCGCACCGCUGCACCCUUCAGUGGAAUCUUGCACGUGGUGCCAAUGUGGACUCCUGCAAUGAAAAAGCUAGUAAAGGAUUUCAUUGAUUGGGUGAUGUAAAAUACGUGGUGCCAACACCAAUGCCUGUAACAAAAAGGCUAAUGAGAGAUUUCAAGAGGUUACAAGAAGACCCGCCAGCCGGCAUCAUACGGGCAGCUCAAUCGAACAGUAUUAACCUAUGGAAUGUUGGGAUAUACAGGAGCGAAAGAAGGAUUUGGAGAGAGCAUCAACAUGCUACUUCUGCAUGCAACAAUCUGAUUGAUCUUACUAUUCAAACGCUUCAGGCCCAAAACAAACAUCUAGAAGGGUAGCCCACAAUAUGAUCCAGUUGGAAGUAUCAUGAGAUGCAGGGUUGAUGCGGAUAUUCUAGGAAAUUCAAAUGAAAUGCUAGAAGUGGAGAAGUACAACAAGUGGCUGAAAGUGUCCCUGGUCAUUUGGAAGGAAAUGGGCUAGUGGGAAAGAGGCCAACGUGUGCAGAAGAUUGGGCAUGCAAUUAGGCAACCAUGAGGAAAGAGGAAAGGAAAUGUUGCCUAUAAAUACAGGUAUGAAGAAAAGAAACGGAAGAGUUUAUUAAAUUAUUAGGAGCUCUUUGUUAACUUAAUUGCUUUAGUGUUCUGUUGUUGUGUCUUUUUAUUUGUUGUUCUAUUGUUCUGAUUAAUUGGAUUGUUCUUGCAUUGGUUGUUUCAAUUUCUGUAAUCAGAUGUUGUGAUUGCUAAUGGAAGUGGUGCUAUUAUUUCCCUUCA
This is a long non-coding RNA of Mangifera indica (mango), 4454 nucleotides long. RefSeq lists it as uncharacterized. The record is from RefSeq and is a predicted model, not a curated record. NCBI's taxonomy places the organism in Eukaryota, Viridiplantae, Streptophyta, Magnoliopsida, Sapindales, Anacardiaceae. The transcript has 12 exons.